GGAAUCAGCAAUUUAUUUGUUUAUAUGGGUAAAAAUGGCAUAUUCAGGAACUAUAUAAGCAUCUGUAAACUAAAGUCAUCAUAACACUAAUAGGAGAAAUGAUGGACCUUCAGUAGAACCUCUGCUGGCCUGUAACAUGCCUUUGAUGGCCUGGGAAAGGGCAUCCUUUUCUCUUGUCAGAGGAGGCUUCAUGUGGCCCACAAGGCUUGGGGAGCAGAGUGAGCUCUGGAUUCUGGCUCCCCCUGCCUCAGCCAUGCUCCUUGUGCCCACAUACAUGCUACAGGCACAGUGCGCAGUGCCGUCAGCCACUGUAACAGCCAGGAUGUUACUGAUUUAAUGAAUUUACCUGUAAAGGAGCACUGGUUAGUUCAUACAAGGGUGCAAAUUAUUACAUAAUUAAAUUUUUAAAGAUGUGCCCAUUUAAAUCAUCAUUCCUAAAGCAAUCUCAUGUUGACGUAGUACUUAGCACAGGGAAAAAAGGCUGAGAAUUUUUACUUUAGAAACAGCUGAGGUACCCAGGAGCUUUGGGACAGAUCUGAAAUAUGCUUGGGCUUGAGUAUGAAAUAUACAGCCUGCCUUGCAAAACUUAGCAUCAGUGACAUGAAGCAGCUCAGGGAUGUGGGGAGCAUUGCAGAAGCUUAGAAAACUUUAAGUAAGUUGCUCAGUAAAAUCUUUGAUGCCAAAAGUCUGUACAUAUGGUGAGCAAGGCAAAAUUGGAUCUGAAAGCAUAUUUUGAUUUAUUGAUUUUAGGUGAAGCUCUGCUACUUGUCCUUUUUAUUUUGGAUUGAAAAAGUAUGUAGUCCCCUUCAGUCUUUUUUAUUUCCUGGUUCUGGGGGUUGAUUCUUUAGGAAGCAGGGCCUCUGGAAUCUUAAAAGUUCCCAUUCUCAUAGGUAAUUAAGUUCACAAAAUUGUACAUGUUGUGUUCCUAAUGACCUUAAUGUUCAAGAACUAAAAUCUCACACUGGAAAUCCAUUUAAAAACGAGUUGCUGCAGUGCUCAUCAACUACCUCGACAUGUCAAGUCAUAGAAAGCAAAAUUUCACAAACCAUCCUUUCCCAUAGAUGAAUCUGUAACCCAUAACUGAUUAAGGAUAAUUAGGCCUUGCUAAUUGGGAACUGGACACAUCACUCUAACUAGUCUUCAGUGGAGCUUUGCUGUGCAGAGAGAGAAGAGCAGUCAGAUGUAGGGUAGAGGCAAGACCCGCAGUGAACAACACUGUAAAGUAGAACAUUUGGCUUUUGUGCCCUAGCCCUCACCUGCCCAUUCUCCUGCCCUUCUGGCUGUUGAUCUCCCAAAAUGCCAGGUCCACCUUCGGCUUCCAUAUUUCAGCAGCAUUCCAGUUGCCACAUUACUAUUGCUCUCAAAAUUUGCCAGUCCCUGGCCUCUGCAAGGCAGUCAUCUAAGCAAUGGAUCACUGUUGCCAUCUUCAUGAAUGCUUACUUAUUAGGGACCAUCUUCCCAGGGUCUUUGUGCAGGUUACUAGGGGCUUCUGGGGGGGGCAGUGACCUAAUCCAGUCGAUGACUCCAACCUUGAGACUUCCAGGUUGCAGAUGCACAUGAUAAGCCUCCAAAUUACAGGUGAGCAAGUGGUGGCUCACUCCACAAACUGUAGCCUUGUAUAUGGCUAGGGCCCAGAAAAGUUAAGAAAUUUACUUUUUUUUUCUUUUUAACCAUACCAAAAUUUUAUAUGAGUUCUCCCUCCCUCAUAGAUAGAAUGUUAAAGACUAUCAAGUCUGGUAUUCACAAAAAAUUUUAGUCCCUUGGGGUGCUUGGCAAAAACAUGGCAUGAUUUAUUCUUCUCAGAAAUUAAGCAUGCACAUAGGCAUGUUAAGGCUUUUGAGAAAUCCUGUAGUAAAGAGACCUAUUUACCUUGCCUUAAUCCAGCAUUCUCCAAAAUUAUUUGACCACGUAACCUUUCUCCCCCAGCAGUAACACUUACUGAUAUCCCAUGGAACUACUACUACUCCUUAAAACAUACUUUGGAAAUGUUAAUCCAAUUCAAUGAGCACAUUUUAAAGAUGAAGAAACUAAGGCCCAGAGCAGAUGGAAGGCACUUAGGUCCAGGAGACAUAAUAAGGUUCUCAAGACCUGGAGAAGACUCAGGCUCCUAGGUAAGUUCUCCUUCUCCCCCCUGUCCUUGCAUUAACCCCAGGCUAAGAACUGGGAUUUCAACAAGGAUGGCUCUGCCGUGAGGCAUCUUGACAAUAAAUGACUGCCUGCCACAGGUGCUUGUAAUGAAAGGAAUAAUGGAAGGAAAAAGCAGCUCAAUACACUUUUUACGUGAAAAUUCAGUGAAGAUUCUGACCAAGAAAAAUUCCAUGGUGUGCUCCCAACACUCGGUUUAUGAGUUUUCUUAUUUCAGUUUGGUUUCCAGAGACAGCAUAAAUACCAGUUUUUGCCUAGUAACCGCUGUGCUGAAAUCGCUAUUGCUCUUGAUUUAAUUUAAUCUUAUUAUUUCAGUCAUAAAGAAGACAGUAAUGUAAAUUAUUUGUGGGCUUAAACAUCUAUUUAUAUCUUUUUUUUCUUUCUCUUCAGAUAAUAAAAUGGGAAAUUGUUAAACACACAUUCAUCUUCAGAACAGUGAGUCCAGGAGGAAGCUUUCAAAACAGGAGCCCAGCCAAUCGCAAACGUUUCUCUGGACAGACUCUCCUCAGCCCCAGACCUGGCUACUAAGAAAGCCAUAUACCCCAGCACUGUGAAGAUGACAAAUCCUGAAACGAAGCUCGUCAUGCAGUUCACCACACUGGUCACCAAGGCGUCUCUGGAGCAGAAAACCCAAGGGGCCUGAGACAUUUGCGAGUCAGGAAUCUAAGAAGCAUCUGUCUCCAGCUGUGACAAGGCUCGCAAAAGCCAGCAGGACCCCAAAGCCAGGACCGAGAGAGAAGAAGAUCUGGGCGGCCGCAUCCACCCACACCUGCAACACAGCAGAGAUGCUAAAGUAGAUAAUAGUGAAGAUCAGCAUGAUGCAGAGGGCAAGCUGCCAGCUGAUGCCCCCCAGGUCCUGGAGCCCCUUUGAC
Non-coding RNA from Kogia breviceps (pygmy sperm whale), 3017 nucleotides. Lineage: Eukaryota; Metazoa; Chordata; Mammalia; Artiodactyla; Physeteridae. The record is from RefSeq and is a predicted model, not a curated record.